UAGUAAACUGCAGCAUCUUCAGCCUGGACUCCACUGAUGGUCAGAGUGAAGUCAGAAUUUGAUCCACUGCCUGUAAAACGACCUGGAAUCCCUGAUGCUCGAGUGGAAGCAAGGUGACGUCAGUCCCACUCUGACAGUGCUGCCGCCGUCACGUGAGGAGCUGGACCAGGGGAAGGCCACACUCAUGUGUCUGGCCAACAAGGGCUUCCCCUCAGCCUGGACUCUGUCCUGGAAGUUGGACGGCAGCAGCAGCAGCAGCAGCAGCUGGGAGCAGAGCAUGAGCCGCGGGCUGCUGGAGAAGGACGGUCUCUACAGCUGGAGCAGCAUCCUGAGGCUUUCUGCUGACCAGUGGAGGAAGGUGGGCUCUGUGACCUGUGAGGCCACCCAGGGCUCCCAGAUUCUCUCAGAGACACUGAGGACAGACCAGUGUUCCUAGUCCUGACCUGACUCACUGACACUCUGCUACUGGUUUUACUCUGCAUUUCUGUCUCUUUUCUCACAAUUUAAAGUUUGAAAACUUCUCGCUCAUGUUGAUCCUGACUCUUUCAACUUUUUCCACAUAAUAAAGUUGUUUGUGUUUCAUUAAAAAA
This is a non-coding RNA of Solea senegalensis (Senegalese sole), 590 nucleotides long. NCBI's taxonomy places the organism in Eukaryota, Metazoa, Chordata, Actinopteri, Pleuronectiformes, Soleidae. The record is from the annotation of a RefSeq genome assembly.